UACGUAGGGUGCAAGCGUUAAUCGGAAUUACUGGGCGUAAAGCGUGCGCAGGCGGUUCGCUAAGACAGAUGUGAAAUCCCCGGGCUUAACCUGGGAACUGCAUUUGUGACUGGCGGGCUAGAGUAUGGCAGAGGGGGGUAGAAUUCCACGUGUAGCAGUGAAAUGCGUAGAGAUGUGGAGGAAUACCGAUGGCGAAGGCAGCCCCCUGGGCCAAUACUGACGCUCAUGCACGAAAGCGUGGGGAGCAAACAGGAUUAGAUACCCUGGUAGUCCACGCCCUAAACGAUGUCAACUAGUUGUUGGGUCUUCAUUGACUUAGUAACGUAGCUAACGCGUGAAGUUGACCGCCUGGGGAGUACGGUCGCAAGAUUAAA
Molecule: ribosomal RNA, 374 nt
Filed under: uncultured bacterium
Lineage: Bacteria
Description: bacterial SSU rRNA
Rfam family: Bacterial small subunit ribosomal RNA
Source: RNAcentral